RNAcentral lists this ribosomal RNA (425 nucleotides) under uncultured bacterium. Its description in RNAcentral is "partial 16S ribosomal RNA". It matches the Rfam family "Bacterial small subunit ribosomal RNA", at positions 354 to 796 of the family's 1533-position model. The record is from RNAcentral.
GUGGGGAAUAUUGCACAAUGGGGGAAACCCUGAUGCAGCGACGCCGCGUGAAGGAUGACGGUUUUCGGAUUGUAAACUUCUAUCAGCAAGGAAGAUAAUGACGGUACUUGACUAAGAAGCCCCGGCUAACUACGUGCCAGCAGCCGCGGUAAUACGUAGGGGGCAAGCGUUAUUCGGAUUUACUGGGUGUAAAGGGAGUGUAGGUGGUAAGGUAAGUCAGAUGUGAAAGCCCAGGGCUCCACCCUGGGACUGCAUUUGAAACUAUCUUACUAGAGUGCAGGAGAUGUAAGUGGAAUUCCUAGUGUAGCGGUGAAAUGCGUAGAUAUUAGGAGGAACACCAGUGGCGAAGGCGGCUUACUGGACUGUAACUGACACUGAGGCUCGAAAGCGUGGGGAGCAAACAGGAUUAGAUACCCGGGUAGUCC